CGGGGGGCAGCAGUGAGGAAUUUUCUGCAAUGGGCGAAAGCCUGACAGAGCAAUACCGCGUGAGGGAAGAAGGCCUAUGGGUUGUAAACCUCUUUUCUCAAGGAGGAAGAUCUGACGUUACUUGAGGAAUAAGCAUCGGCUAACCCUGUGCCAGCAGCCGCGGUAAUACAGGGGAUGCGAGUGUUAUCCGGAAUUAUUGGGCGUAAAGCGUCUGCAGGUUGAUUUCUAAGUCUUUUGUGAAAUCUCUAGGCUUAACCUAGACUAUGCAAAAGAAACUAUUGAUCUAGAGUUUGGUAAGGGUUAAGACAAUUUCCAGUGGAGCGGUGAAAUGCGUAGAGAUUGGAAAGAAUACCAAUAGCGAAAGCACUUAACUAGGCCAAUACUGACACUCAGAGACGAAAGCUAGGGGAGCGAACAGGAUUAGAUACCCGGGU
RNAcentral lists this ribosomal RNA (434 nucleotides) under uncultured prokaryote. RNAcentral's name for it is "bacterial SSU rRNA". It matches the Rfam family "Bacterial small subunit ribosomal RNA", at positions 342 to 791 of the family's 1533-position model. The record is from RNAcentral.